This 449-nucleotide ribosomal RNA is filed under the name uncultured prokaryote. Its description in RNAcentral is "bacterial SSU rRNA". It matches the Rfam family "Bacterial small subunit ribosomal RNA", at positions 355 to 796 of the family's 1533-position model. The record is from RNAcentral.
UGGGGAAUAUUGGACAAUGGGCGCAAGCCUGAUCCAGCAAUGCCGCGUGUGUGAAGAAGGCCUGCGGGUUGUAAAGCACUUUUCUGAGAGAAGAAGGCACCGAGGUUAAGAGCCGGGGUGCUUGACGGUAUCUCAGGAAUAAGCACCGGCUAACUCCGUGCCAGCAGCCGCGGUAAUACGGAGGGUGCGAGCGUUAAUCGGAAUUACUGGGCGUAAAGGGUACGUAGGCGGUCUUUUGAGUCGGAUGUGAAAGCCCUGGGCUCAACCUGGGAAUGGCAUUCGAUACUGGGAGGCUAGAGUUUGGCAGAGGCUGACGGAAUUCCUGGUGUAGCGGUGAAAUGCGUAGAUAUCAGGAGGAACAUCAGUGGCGAAGGCGGUCAGCUGGGCCAAAACUGACGCUGAGGUACGAAAGCGUGGGGAGCAAACAGGAUUAGAUACCCCCGUAGUCC